GACGAACGCUGGCGGCGUGCUUAACACAUGCAAGUCGAACGGAAAGGCCCUGCUUUUGUGGGGUGCUCGAGUGGCGAACGGGUGAGUAACACGUGAGUAACCUGCCCUUGACUUUGGGAUAACUUCAGGAAACUGGGGCUAAUACCGGAUAGGAGCUCCUGCUGCAUGGUGGGGGUUGGAAAGUUUCGGCGGUUGGGGAUGGACUCGCGGCUUAUCAGCUUGUUGGUGGGGUAGUGGCUUACCAAGGCUUUGACGGGUAGCCGGCCUGAGAGGGUGACCGGCGAAGCUGGGAGGGAGAUACGGCCCAGGCUCCUACGGGAGUCAGGGGUGGGGAAGAUGGGACAAGGGGCGGACGCGUGAUGCAGCAACGCCGAGGGCGGGAGGGAGGCCUUCGGGGUGGAAACCACUUUGGCCUGGGACGAGGCGGGAGUGGCGGUAGUGGGGAAAGAAGCACCGACGAGCGACGUG
RNAcentral lists this ribosomal RNA (468 nucleotides) under uncultured bacterium. RNAcentral describes it as "partial 16S ribosomal RNA". It matches the Rfam family "Bacterial small subunit ribosomal RNA", at positions 28 to 507 of the family's 1533-position model. The record is from RNAcentral.